CCAGUCGGUGAGACCGCACCACCCACUAAAAAUCACUGAUCACGAAGAUUUUCACAUCUCUACCAAGGAAGUGUAGGGAUCUGAAAAAAUAGUGGGAGCCUAGUUUGUUUAAAAAUAAAAACCCUAAACAAAUUGGUUGAGUCUGAUUACAAAAUCUAACUAGAAACUUUUGACUCUCUACAGGAAACAUGUCUGCCUCAAACCCCCUGACCAAAAUUCUAGACACCCAU
Molecule: long non-coding RNA, 230 nt
Filed under: Elaeis guineensis (African oil palm)
Lineage: Eukaryota; Viridiplantae; Streptophyta; Magnoliopsida; Arecales; Arecaceae
Description: long non-coding RNA (EGUI_LNC082781)
Source: RNAcentral